ACGCAUUAGUACCCGCCUGGGGGAGUACGGCGCAGGCUAAACUCAAAGGAAUUGACGGGGCCCGCACCAGCGGCGGAGCAUGUGGAUAUUCGAUGCACGCGAAGAACCUUACCUGGGUUUGACAUGCACAGGACGCUGGUAGAGAUAUCAGUUCCCUUGUGGCCCUGUGUGCAGGUGGUGCAUGGCUGUCGUCAGCUCGUGUCGUGAGAUGUUGGGUUAAGUCCCGCAACGAGCGCAACCCUUGUCCUAUGUUGCCAGCGGGUUAUGCCGGGGACUCGUAGGAGACUGCCGGGGUCAACUCGGAGGAAGGUGGGGAUGACGUCAAGUCAUCAUGCCCCUUAUGUCCAGGGCUUCACACAUGCUACAAUGGCCGGUACAAAGGGCUGCGAUACCGUGAGGUGGAGCGAAUCCUUUCAAAGCCGGUCUCAGUUCGGAUCGGGGUUUGUCUGCAACUCGACCCCGUGAAGUAGGGGGAGUCCUUAGUAAUUGCAGAUCAGCAACGCUGCGGUGAAUACGUUCCCGGGCCUUGUACACGCCACCCGUCACGUCAUGAAAGUCGGUAACACCCGAAGCCGGUGGCCUAACCCCUUGUGGGAGGGAGCCGUCGAAGGUGGGAUCGGCGAUUGGGACGAAGUCGUAACAAGGUAAC
Molecule: ribosomal RNA, 649 nt
Filed under: bacterium enrichment culture
Lineage: Bacteria
Description: bacterial SSU rRNA
Rfam family: Bacterial small subunit ribosomal RNA
Source: RNAcentral